UACCAGCACCCCGAGUGGUCGGGACGAUUAUUGGGCCUAAAGCAUCCGUAGCCGGUUCUGCAAGUCCCCCGUUAAAUCCAGCUGCUCAACAGAUGGGCCGCGGAGGAUACUACAGAGCUAGGAGGCAGGAGAGGCAAGCGGUACUCAGUGGGUAGGGGUAAAAUCCGUUGAUCCAUUGAAGACCACCAGUGGCGAAGGCGGCUUGCCAGAAUGCGCUCGACGGUGAGGGAUGAAAGCUGGGGGAGCAACGG
Molecule: ribosomal RNA, 251 nt
Filed under: uncultured bacterium
Lineage: Bacteria
Description: partial 16S ribosomal RNA
Rfam family: Archaeal small subunit ribosomal RNA
Source: RNAcentral